Molecule: ribosomal RNA, 406 nt
Filed under: uncultured bacterium
Lineage: Bacteria
Description: partial 16S ribosomal RNA
Rfam family: Bacterial small subunit ribosomal RNA
Source: RNAcentral
AUUGAACGCUGGCGGCAGGCCUAACACAUGCAAGUCGAACGAGUGGCGGACGGGUGAGUAAUGUCUGGGAAACUGCCUGAUGGAGGGGGAUAACCACUGGAAACGGUAGCUAAUACCGCAUACCAUCGGAUGUGCCCAGAGGGGAUUAGCUAGUAGGUGGGGUGACGGCUCACCUAGGCCGCGAUCCCUAGCUGGUCUGAGAGGAUGACCAGCCACAGGGUAACGGAGACGCGGUCCAGACUCCAACGGGAGGCAGCAGUGGGGAAUAUUGAACAAUGGGAGCAAGCCUGAUGCAGCCAUGCCGCGUGUAUGAAGAAGGCCUUCGGGUUGUAAAGUACUUUCAGCGGGGAGGCGUUACCCGCAGAAGAAGCACCGGCUAACUCCGUGCCAGCAGCCGCGGUAAUAC